ACAUUUUCCAUUUGCGUUCAUAGAUACGUGUUUUUAAGUUCUCACCUCACACGUAGAGAUGAAAAGGAGGAAGCUCUCGUUACGACAUAAUUAUGUUUCAUUCAGAGUGCUCAGGAGAAACUUGUUGGGGGGGUUAAUCCAACUGUUUGCAGUUAGCUGAAUGGGAGAACAGCUUUCUCUGAAUAUUUUUCUAACAUCUCAAGUAGAGGAAUUAUUUAAGUAGCCAUCAUGUAGUGUCCAUCACCCUCAUCCCCGUGCCUCCAUCACGUUCCUAGCUUUGUCUUACCACGCCUUCCUUUUUUCUCUUUCAUCUGAACCUUUUUUAUUUAUCCGCCACUAACCAUGUUCGUGUUUCCACGUAUGUGAGGAACAUCUGGCCUGCAGUAAUGUGAGCCACAUCGUUUUUAUGUUCUAUCUUCCAGGUUCAAGUGUGAGGGCCCCAGACGGAGCUGUACACCAGUUAAAGUCUCUACCAGUCUGGCAGGUUAAUGCUGGCACUUAUUCUACACUGUGGAUCAGAAACCCCGGGUAUCCUUCAGAAGCGUCGCGCGGAUCGGAUGUUCUGAGACGCGAGAGAGGAUUUCUCCAGUGGCAUCAAAUUCUAAGUUAUUAUUCAUGUCCGAUUCUCCUACAGUACAGAAAUAAAUAGUAAAUGAUCUUAAACGGUUGCCUCCACUGUGAGACAUCAUUUGCUCGUGUGAACACACGAGCCGUUGACCCUUGUUGUAGUUCUAGGAUGAGCGCUGGUAGUGGAGUUUGUUUCUGCAGCCUCCGUGUCCUCUGUGAGGGGACUGCCCUCUUCAGGUGGAAUAUGGACUGUGAGUCGGCCAUUUAAACACGUUCCCCUAUCAGCUGCAUGGCCGCUGGUGGUCUAAAGACACGCACUGCUCACAUGAAUCAUCAUUUCUGUUACGUGCCAGCUCCCCAACUUAGGGAGGAAUACGACCGUGGCACAGUAGGGAAUGUCCUCUGGUGAGGAGGGUGUCCCGCUGUCCCAAAGCUAAGCCUCUGUGACUCAGUGCUCGUUUUGCCAUAACAGCGUACACAUUAUCGUGGAAGUUUAUUUGAGAAGUCGGGCCUUCGCAGUCCUAUUAUCUGGAAUAAACGAACAGAGAGGCCAACAGGAUGUGGUAUAAUGUUUAUUAUAGGGUGAAACACAACACAGAACAACAUGAAGACGUGCAUAAAAUGACAAGUUAACCAAAGGCCAGUGUGAAGCCACAAGAUAAAUCCACAAUAUAUAUAUAU
Molecule: long non-coding RNA, 1248 nt
Organism: Gasterosteus aculeatus aculeatus (three-spined stickleback)
Lineage: Eukaryota; Metazoa; Chordata; Actinopteri; Perciformes; Gasterosteidae
Source: Ensembl